Molecule: ribosomal RNA, 333 nt
Filed under: Triticum aestivum (bread wheat)
Lineage: Eukaryota; Viridiplantae; Streptophyta; Magnoliopsida; Poales; Poaceae
Description: partial small subunit ribosomal RNA
Source: RNAcentral
AUGGUGCUCGGCUACCCCGAUGAGGACGCUCAGUCCAUUGCCGAUCGGCUUAACUGCCGGCUGGGAUCUUUUCCCACGACCUAUCUGGGGAUCCCCAUUAGCGACUCGCGCCUCACCGUGGCGGACCUCCGCCCCACGGUGACCCGUAUGCAGCACCGAGUUGAGCCCUGGAAAGGGCGCUGGCUGUCGAAGGCGGCACGUGUGAUCCUUAUCAACUCGUCGCUUGCCAGCCUUCUGUGGUUCCUCAUGAGCUUUUACAGUCUUCAUGAAACCCUUCAUCAGGAGAUCGCCAAGUACCAGGCCAGAUUUUUCUGGGCUGGCGAGGCAGGCAGA